AGACCCGAAACCCGGUGAUCUAGCCAUGGGCAGGUUGAAGGUUGGGUAACACUAACUGGAGGACCGAACCGACUAAUGUUGAAAAAUUAGCGGAUGACCUGUGGCUGGGGGUGAAAGGCCAAUCAAACCGGGAGAUAGCUGGUUCUCCCCGAAAGCUAUUUAGGUAGCGCCUCGUGAAUUCAUCUCCGGGGGUAGAGCACUGUUUCGGCUAGGGGGCCAUCCCGGCUUACCAACCCGAUGCAAACUGCGAAUACCGGAGAAUGUUAUCACGGGAGACACACGGCGGGUGCUAACGUCCGUCGUGAAGAGGGAAACAACCCAGACCGCCAGCUAAGGUCCCAAAGUCAUGGUUAAGUGGGAAACGAUGUGGGAAGGCCCAGACAGCCAGGAUGUUGGCUUAGAAGCAGCCAUCAUUUAAAGAAAGCGUAAUAGCUCACUGGUCGAGUCGGCCUGCGCGGAAGAUGUAACGGGGCUAAACCAUGCACCGAAGCUGCGGCAGCGAACGUAUCACUUAAAGCGAUUCAGCGGGUUACGAUUGACGGAGCGAAGCGACGUCAAAGCGUAUACAAAGUCGAGUCGGUUUAAGGAUACGUUCGUUGGGUAGGGGAGCGUUCUGUAAGCCUGUGAAGGUGUGUCGUGAGGCAUGCUGGAGGUAUCAGAAGUGCGAAUG
RNAcentral lists this ribosomal RNA (670 nucleotides) under Salmonella enterica subsp. enterica serovar Infantis. RNAcentral's name for it is "partial 23S ribosomal RNA". It matches the Rfam family "Bacterial large subunit ribosomal RNA", at positions 711 to 1296 of the family's 2925-position model. RNAcentral also lists the same sequence under 1 other name. Lineage: Bacteria; Pseudomonadati; Pseudomonadota; Gammaproteobacteria; Enterobacterales; Enterobacteriaceae. The record is from RNAcentral.